RNAcentral lists this unclassified non-coding RNA (703 nucleotides) under uncultured fungus. Its description in RNAcentral is "sequence contains 18S rRNA gene, ITS1, 5.8S rRNA gene, ITS2, 28S rRNA gene". Lineage: Eukaryota; Fungi. The record is from RNAcentral.
GAAGCGUGCGGUCGCCGAGAAUUGUGCGCGGGUCGAAUGGUCGGUGCUCGAUUGGAACGAGCCGUCGAUCAAAUUCUAUGAGUCGUUGGGCGCGAUCCCCAUGGAGGAAUGGUCAAUCUUCCGGUUGACGGGUGAUGCGUUGCGAAAGCUCGGCGCAUGAGCGAACCGAUUGUCGCGCUGAUCGUCGCGGUUGCAGAAAACGGCGUCAUCGGCCGCGACGGAAAGCUGCCGUGGCGGAUUCCGGAGGACAUGAAGUGGUUUAAGGCCCGCACCGAAGGGCGACCGAUGAUCAUGGGCCGCAAGACGUGGGAGAGCCUUCCGAGGCGGCCGCUGCCCGGGCGGACGAAUAUCGUGAUCACGCGCGAUGCGUCGUACAAAGCCGAGGGGGCUGUCGUCGUCACGUCGCUUGCCGCCGCGCUGGAUGUUGCCAACGGCGAAGCGCCGGAGGAAAUCAUGGUGAUCGGCGGGGCGGAGAUUUAUAGGGCGACACUGCCGUUCGUGCGGCGCAUUUAUCUCACCAGCGUGCACGGCGAGAUUGAGGGCGAUACACACUUUCCCGCACUCGAUCGCGGCAAUUGGAACGAGACGAUCGUUGGCGUUUAUCCCUCGUCAGAGACAAGGCCCAUCGGCUACAGUUUCAUCAUUCUGGAUAAGAAGUGAUGAGGAAGCGCGCCUAUGUCCGUUCGUGAAAUCGCUAGUGGAU